UACGGGGGGGGCAAGCGUUGUUCGGAAUUACUGGGCGUAAAGGGCUCGUAGGCGGCCAACUAAGUCAGACGUGAAAUCCCUCGGCUUAACCGGGGAACUGCAUCUGAUACUGGAUGGCUUGAGUUCGGGAGAUGGAUGCGGAAUUCCAGGUGUAGCGGUGAAAUGCGUAGAUAUUAGGUGGAAUACCGGUGGCGAAGGCGGCCAACUGGCCUAGCAUUGACGCUGAGAUACGAAAGCGUGGGGAUCAAACAGG
This 253-nucleotide ribosomal RNA is filed under the name uncultured bacterium. RNAcentral's name for it is "partial 16S ribosomal RNA". It matches the Rfam family "Bacterial small subunit ribosomal RNA", at positions 524 to 776 of the family's 1533-position model. The record is from RNAcentral.